Long non-coding RNA from Homo sapiens (human), 870 nucleotides. RefSeq lists it as uncharacterized. Lineage: Eukaryota; Metazoa; Chordata; Mammalia; Primates; Hominidae. The record is from RefSeq and is a predicted model, not a curated record. The transcript has 2 exons.
GCCGGGCCACCCCUACCCCUGCCUGGUGCCGCCCCCGCUGCGCUGACUGGGAGUCUUCGUGGUCGGAUUCCCCACCCUUCCUUACCUCGUAAACCGACAGACCUGGGUUUCGCCGCUGCUCCUGUUCCUCGAGCAGCCUUCAAGCAGUGGAAAUUACGGAGAAAUGAACAUUCUGAAAGCGCCUAGUAAAUGCUCAGGAAGAGAUCAGCACCAUGUGAGAUGCAGUAUUCUAACGCUCUGAAAUGUUACUUGUUGUUUAAUAAGUGAUCAUCAUUUAUUAAAUAUUCUUGAUCCUGGCCGGGCGCGGUGGCUCACGCCUGUAAUCCCAGCACCUUGGGAGGCCGAGACGGGCGGAUCACCUGAGGUCAGGAGUUCAAGACCAGCCUGGCCAACAUGGUGAAACCCCGUCUCGACUAAAAAUACAAAAUUAGCCAGGCGUGGUGGCGCAUGCCUGUAAUCCUAGCUACUCAGGAGGCUGAGGCAGGAGAAUCGCUUGAUUCAGUGAGCCGAGAUCGCGCCAUUGCACUCCAGCCGGGCGACAAGAGCUAAAUUGCGACAAGAGCUAAAUUCCGUCUCAAAAAACAAACAAACAAACAAAAAACUUGAUCUUUCAAACCGGGUUACAGCAGUUACCUCAUGCAAAAAAGCAGCCUUACUUAAAGGAUAAAUAACAUGCUUAAAACAUCAGACGGUACUGUGAAUCGGAGACUUGCGUUCUGGAAAAUGCCAUUAUUUACCCCUCUCUGGAAAAAGAUACCCGGCUGGGUGAUUAAUACACAAGGACACAAGGUCCAUUUCAUCACCCUUCUGGUGGAAAGCACAGAAGAAAGAUGUAAUGGCCAACUCCAAUAAAGCAUCUCUGUAAUUUCA